Molecule: ribosomal RNA, 254 nt
Filed under: uncultured bacterium
Lineage: Bacteria
Description: partial 16S ribosomal RNA
Rfam family: Bacterial small subunit ribosomal RNA
Source: RNAcentral
UACAGAGGUCCCGAGCGUUGUUCGGAUUCACUGGGCGUAAAGGGUGCGUAGGUGGCUUGGUAAGUUUGAUGUGAAAGCUCAGGGCUCAACCCUGAAAUGGUAUUGAAUACUACUGAGCUGGAGGUUUGGAGGGGGGACUGGAAUUCUCGGUGUAGCAGUGAAAUGCGUAGAUAUCAAGAGGAACACCUGAGGCGAAGGCGGGUUGCUAGGCUGACACUGACGCUGAGUGCGCGAAAGCCAGGGGAGCAAACGGG